This 245-nucleotide ribosomal RNA is filed under the name uncultured archaeon. RNAcentral describes it as "partial 16S ribosomal RNA". It matches the Rfam family "Archaeal small subunit ribosomal RNA", at positions 474 to 718 of the family's 1478-position model. The record is from RNAcentral.
UACCGGCGGCUCGAGUGGUGGCCGAUAUUAUUGAGUCUAAAGGGUCCGUAGCCGGCUUGGCAAGUCUCUUGGGAAAUCCUGCGGCUUAACCGCUGGUCGUCCGGGAGAUACUACUUUGCUUGGGACUGGGAGAGGCGUGAGGUACUCAGGGGGUAGGAGUGAAAUCCUGUAAUCCUUUGGGGACCACCGGUGGCGAAGGCGUCACGCCAGAACAGGUCCGACGGUGAGGGACGAAAGCUAGGGGC